Molecule: long non-coding RNA, 163 nt
Filed under: Numida meleagris (helmeted guineafowl)
Lineage: Eukaryota; Metazoa; Chordata; Aves; Galliformes; Numididae
Description: lncRNA (ENSNMEG00000003905.1)
Source: RNAcentral
AUCCCCAUACUGGUCCCAGUACCUCCCUUAUUCUGGUCCCAGUGCCACCCAUGCACCAGCCCCACACCAGCCCCAUACUGGUCCCAGUGCUGUCCCCAUACUGGUCCCAGUGCCACUCUCACACUGGUCCCAGUGCCACCCUUGUUCUGGUCCCAGUGCCAUC